RNAcentral lists this transfer RNA (72 nucleotides) under Bacteroidota bacterium. RNAcentral describes it as "Bacteroidetes bacterium (cold seep metagenome) tRNA-Glu". It matches the Rfam family "tRNA". From Rfam's summary of the family: Transfer RNA (tRNA) molecules are approximately 80 nucleotides in length. Their secondary structure includes four short double-helical elements and three loops (D, anti-codon, and T loops). The record is from RNAcentral. Lineage: Bacteria; Pseudomonadati; Bacteroidota.
GGUCCAUUCGUCUAGGGGUUAGGACGCAAGAUUUUCAUUCUUGUAACACGAGUUCGAUUCUCGUAUGGACUA